Long non-coding RNA from Drosophila simulans, 705 nucleotides. RefSeq lists it as uncharacterized. The transcript is spliced from 3 exons. The record is from RefSeq and is a predicted model, not a curated record. NCBI's taxonomy places the organism in Eukaryota, Metazoa, Arthropoda, Insecta, Diptera, Drosophilidae.
AGAUUUCUUACACUCUCAGCGUAAGCGAGCGGAAAGAGAGCAAUUUUGGCCUUCGCCAAAAAAGUGGCUGCAUAGUGCCAAACCAAUGGUAUGGCCGUUACGCAUCUUGUUAUUCUAGUGUCUUUGUUAUGACCAUGUACACCCACACUACCUAGAAUGCCGAAAGGAUUUUCGGACAUCACCCAUUAUCCGCACGUUGGUGUCACUCAAACAUUCCGGCAGUGAUCACUUUUGAUUUGAUUUGAAAUGGUCAAAGCAAAAGUGUGGGAAUCCUCUGGGACUACAAAUCUCCGCCGAAACUUUCCCCGCAAAAGUGUUUAUUGAGACGGCAUUUCUUUUGACGUAUUCACAUUCGUAGGAUCACCUAAUCCUGAGGAGCUCCGGGGCAUCAGAAGGGACGUGCAAACUAAACGUGGAUGUGUGUUGUUUCCCCUGUCUGGCUAACCAUCUUUUCGCGACCCAAAGUUGAACGGCACGACGCCGACAAAUUGGACUCGCGAUUUACUCCAGAUUGAGUGACAAAUUCAGCACCAGCGGCCGUUGAAAUUAUGGUGGCGGUCGCCGCCUUCAGACUACAGUAGUCAAGGAAUGUUACCCUGGAAGACUCCUGAUCCAACGAACGUGGCCAUCGCUGCGCUGAUGUGUGAACAUUUUGGGCCUUUGAGAAAUUCUGUUGUUUUCCCCCACAAGUGGUAAGAAACACAA